UUGGCUACUCUACCUAUCCCGGUUGCUAAGUCAUUAAUUGGGUAUGGGAAUUUUUUUUAAAGGUUGGCCUGUUUUGAGAGAUGUAACUUGCUGUACAAGUUCAGGAUUUUUUCUCUGUGGUUGAACAACCAGCUGCAGAAUAAAGGAGUUCAGGACUCUACCUCUGUGAUAAACACCAUGGCAAAUCCAGUGGCAAAACUAAAGCUGGACUACUCUUUCAAACAACUUUCACACAAGCUCAUUGUUUAUGGGUCGCGGGGGAACCUGGAGCCUAUCGCAGGGAGCAUCGGGCACAGGCGGGUACACCCUGGACAGGGUGCCAGUCCAUCACAGAGCACACAAUCACACAUUCAUACACUACGGACACUUUAGACACGCCAAUCAGCCAUGCAUGUCUUUGGACCGCAGGAAACCCCCGCAAACGGGAGAACAUGCAAACUCCGCACACACACAGCCGCAGGAAUCAAACCCGACCCUGGCGGUGUGAGGCGAACGUGCCAACCACUAAGCCACCGUUCCCUAAAUGAGGAAAGUCAAAAAAUUUCAAAGAAACAAAGAGAGAAUUAACCAGUAUUUUCAUCUCAAAUGUGUAAAUGGGUCAAAUUGACUCAUAACAUAAUAGGAG
Ictalurus punctatus (channel catfish) is the source of this 625-nucleotide long non-coding RNA. Lineage: Eukaryota; Metazoa; Chordata; Actinopteri; Siluriformes; Ictaluridae. The record is from Ensembl.